This is a non-coding RNA of Doryrhamphus excisus (bluestripe pipefish), 2365 nucleotides long. NCBI's taxonomy places the organism in Eukaryota, Metazoa, Chordata, Actinopteri, Syngnathiformes, Syngnathidae. The record is from RefSeq and is a predicted model, not a curated record.
GACAAGCGUUACCUUGCGCUCAACCCUGACAAAGAGCUGGGAACAAGGAUCAAGGCAUCGUUGGAGUGGACGGUGUAGUGACUACGCACAAGCAUCAUCCAGUGACGUCAGCGGACAACCCCCCUCUUUCAAAACUUUGCUCUUAAGGCCAGAAGACAGCGCAGCAUCCGCGACUUUAAAGGUCGAUCCUACAAGAAAGCAACUGGAGGUAUCGCGAGACUUUGAGCGAGGAAGGUAUAACGAUGAUGCUAACGUCAGGCCUUGUUUCAAGCUACGCUUUGUUAGCUUAGCGUGUAGCUUCCAACUCACACCUUUUCUUCCUGAAUCAGGCCUCACCUCCAUCUCCCACCAGGCCUCCUCCUAUCAUGCUUUGCUGCUCCUGCUGAUGAAGAUGACGCCGACAACAAAGGAGAGGCAACGAGCGCAGUCAGGUCACAUGUCCAGCUCAUCCGCUCCUCCAUCACAACAGCAACUUUUUUCAACAUUAUUGCCAUUGUCUCAGCUGGAGCAUUUAGUUACUGUUUUGUAGGCCUACGUAGCUCAAAUGCUAACGCUGGAGAGUUCUCUGAAUGACCGAGGCCGCUUGUUGAACAGUGAUCAUUUCUUGACCUUUGCCCCCCUUCGCCUGUACCACUUAUUUUGUGGUUCAGCCUGGUGUCCAAAAAUGAAGCGUGAUGAAUGUAUACCUUCUUGGAGCACCUAAUAAAGCCAAUUCGGGACGAGAUUCUAAAUGCAGGCAUGUGCACGGUGAGGAUGGCAAGCAAGAAGUUGUGUCUCCUGCCGCACAAGAAAGUGUGAUGUUAUUUAUUGGACAGUCACCAUGGAGCUGUUGCCAUCAGCGACAAUAGGGUGGAUUCAUCCAUUCAGCACAGGACGACGAGGAGGAGGAGGCAUCCUUCAAGUCGCGCGGAGGAGGUGGCGAUGUGAGCAGGAAGUUUCCCGACAUGCAGUUGUUAUUGUUCAAGCUUUCAUUGGAGCGCUGUGGGUCCCAUGACAGCGACACCUGUCGGCAGGAGGCAAGGCGGAAAAAAAAAACGCAUAAACCAGCUGCACGGCUCGAUGACCUCUUCCUCUGCACAGAGCGGGAAGAUGCAGCUCAGACAUGUGCAGAGGGGGGAGGGGAGCAAGGAGGGGGUGAAAAACCGGUUUCCAAUAGUGACGGAUGAUUUGUAGGUAACAGUUGUUUGCCUUGCGGCCUGAGGCCUGGCAGCAAGCGCCAUGCUCUCCUUAAAGGAACAGUACGUCACAGCAUCUCUUUGACCUGUUGACCCCCCCAGCCCACGAAUACCUCAACGUGCUGUUUACAACAUGAACUCAUAAGCAGCCAAAAUGUCCUCCUCUCAGCUCCACUCAAGCCACUAGAGGGCGUCAGACGCUCCAGGGCAACUUCUAUUGGACUCAUCUUUUGUUCGACUUCCGAGGACCACAUGCAGUGACAUGUGCAGCCACUGGGGGCGACUUCAACCCGGUAGAACCUUUUUAACAAGCGAUAAGUCACCACAAGUCUAUCACACUAGUGGGUAUGCUUUCUAGACCGACCAGUUUUGUGAUGGAGAUAUAUUAGGUACUAGUGCCCUGGUAACACCUUGCCUACCCCGAGUGGCAAGGUAGUGAGUGAAUAGCUUUGAUGCAAAAAACCCCAAAACAAAACCCAACAACUAAAACAAAAGUAUGAUUAAAAAACAGCAACCAUUGAAACAACAUAUUAACGAAAAUGACAUGAAGUUAAAUUGAGUUGAGCUUUGUUGUGCAUAAACGGUAAUCUAUUAGACACUCGGGGGUUUUGUCGCCAUCGCGUGGUUAAAGCACGUCAACACUUCAAGAGGUGACUUGUGUGGUCAAUGGUCAUAUUAACAGACACUUGAAGUGUUUUUACUUUGCUUUAUUGUUGAUUAUUGCAUUAGUACAACAAAGAAAAUUAUUCAAGAGAGGAAAAAAAGUUAAUUUGUCACAUUCAUGUACACAUCAAAUGAGCAUUGUCAUUCACUUGUUUGGAUGUCUUAAAAAAUCAAAAUGUAAUUAUUUGAUAAUCAUUGUCAUUCAUUAUUUCUAUUACUAUAAUGUGGCCUUUGACCCUUGAGUCCUUGGCUAAUUUUAAAGAAAAAUACAUUACUUGUUCAGUCAUAAAAAAGCAGAAGCAUUGAUUUAUGCGAGAAAUCAAGUCUUGAAAUCAUUAUGUGGGGCCUGGUGGCUCCGCCCCUUCACAUGGAGGCUUAAUUGAUUGGAUGAGGCUAAUUGUUCCCAAUAUUGAACUCAACAGUGCCCCAAAUCUGCAAGGAGACAAGAAAAGAUUUUGAGUUUUUUCACAAUCCUGUCAGUCACGUGUUGAGAUGAUGUGUGUGUCAUCACUAAAGUGCUCCCGUUA